UUAAGCGACUAAGCGUACACGGUGGAUGCCCUGGCAGUCAGAGGCGAUGAAGGACGUGCUAAUCUGCGAAAAGCGCCGGCGAGGUGAUAUGAACCUUUGACCCGGCGAUGUCCGAAUGGGGAAACCCAGUGUGUUUCGACACACUAUCGUUAACUGAAUACAUAGGUUAACGAGGCGAACCGGGGGAACUGAAACAUCUAAGUACCCCGAGGAAAAGAAAUCAACCGAGAUUCCCCCAGUAGCGGCGAGCGAACGGGGAGCAGCCCGGAGUCUGAAUCAGCUUGUGUGUUAGUGGAACGGUCUGGAAAGUCCGACGGUACAGGGUGAUAGUCCCGUACACGAAAAUGCACAGGUUGUGAACUCGAAGAGUAGGGCGGGACACGUGGUAUCCUGUCUGAAUAUGGGGGGACCAUCCUCCAAGGCUAAAUACUCCUGACUGACCGAUAGUGAACCAGUACCGUGAGGGAAAGGCGAAAAGAACCCCGGCGAGGGGAGUGAAAAAGAACCUGAAACCGUGUACGUACAAGCAGUGGGAGCCUCUUUUAUGGGGUGACUGCGUACCUUUUGUAUAAUGGGUCAGCGACUUAUAUUCUGUAGCAAGGUUAACCGAAUAGGGGAGCCGAAGGGAAACCGAGUCUUAACUGGGCGUUAAGUUGCAGGGUAUAGACCCGAAACCCGGUGAUCUAGCCAUGGGCAGGUUGAAGGUUGGGUAACACUAACUGGAGGACCGAACCGACUAAUGUUGAAAAAUUAGCGGAUGACCUGUGGCUGGGGGUGAAAGGCCAAUCAAACCGGGAGAUAGCUGGUUCUCCCCGAAAGCUAUUUAGGUAGCGCCUCGUGAACUCAUCUUCGGGGGUAGAGCACUGUUUCGGCUAGGGGGCCAUCCCGGCUUACCAACCCGAUGCAAACUACGAAUACCGAAGAAUGUUAUCACGGGAGACACACGGCGGGUGCUAACGUCCGUCGUGAAGAGGGAAACAACCCAGACCGCCAGCUAAGGUCCCAAAGUCAUGGUUAAGUGGGAAACGAUGUGGGAAGGCACAGACAGCCAGGAUGUUGGCUUAGAAGCAGCCAUCAUUUAAAGAAAGCGUAAUAGCUCACUGGUCGAGUCGGCCUGCGCGGAAGAUGUAACGGGGCUAAACCAUGCACCGAAGCUGCGGCAGCGACGCUUAUGCGUUGUUGGGUAGGGGAGCGUUCUGUAAGCCGUUGAAGGUGGCCUGUGAGGGUUGCUGGAGGUAUCAGAAGUGCGAAUGCUGACAUAAGUAACGAUAAAGCGGGUGAAAAGCCCGCUCGCCGGAAGACCAAGGGUUCCUGUCCAACGUUAAUCGGGGCAGGGUGAGUCGACCCCUAAGGCGAGGCCGAAAGGCGUAGUCGAUGGGAAACAGGUUAAUAUUCCUGUACUUGGUGUUACUGCGAAGGGGGGACGGAGAAGGCUAUGUUAGCCGGGCGACGGUUGUCCCGGUUUAAGCAUGUAGGCGGAGGUUCCAGGUAAAUCCGGUACCUUUUAACGCUGAGGUGUGAUGACGAGGCACUACGGUGCUGAAGUAACAAAUGCCCUGCUUCCAGGAAAAGCCUCUAAGCAUCAGGUAACACGAAAUCGUACCCCAAACCGACACAGGUGGUCAGGUAGAGAAUACCAAGGCGCUUGAGAGAACUCGGGUGAAGGAACUAGGCAAAAUGGUGCCGUAACUUCGGGAGAAGGCACGCUGAUAUGUAGGUGAAGCCCCUGCGGGUGGAGCUGAAAUCAGUCGAAGAUACCAGCUGGCUGCAACUGUUUAUUAAAAACACAGCACUGUGCAAACACGAAAGUGGACGUAUACGGUGUGACGCCUGCCCGGUGCCGGAAGGUUAAUUGAUGGGGUUAGCGGUAACGCGAAGCUCUUGAUCGAAGCCCCGGUAAACGGCGGCCGUAACUAUAACGGUCCUAAGGUAGCGAAAUUCCUUGUCGGGUAAGUUCCGACCUGCACGAAUGGCGUAAUGAUGGCCAGGCUGUCUCCACCCGAGACUCAGUGAAAUUGAACUCGCUGUGAAGAUGCAGUGUACCCGCGGCAAGACGGAAAGACCCCGUGAACCUUUACUAUAGCUUGACACUGAACACUGGUCCUUGAUGUGUAGGAUAGGUGGGAGGCUUUGAAGCGUGGACGCCAGUCUGCGUGGAGCCGACCUUGAAAUACCACCCUUUAAUGGCUGGUGUUCUAACGUAGACCCGUAAUCCGGGUUGCGGACAGUGUCUGGUGGGUAGUUUGACUGGGGCGGUCUCCUCCCAAAGAGUAACGGAGGAGCACGAAGGUUAGCUAAUCCUGGUCGGACAUCAGGAGGUUAGUGCAAUGGCAUAAGCUAGCUUGACUGCGAGAGUGACGGCUCGAGCAGGUGCGAAAGCAGGUCAUAGUGAUCCGGUGGUUCUGAAUGGAAGGGCCAUCGCUCAACGGAUAAAAGGUACUCCGGGGAUAACAGGCUGAUACCGCCCAAGAGUUCAUAUCGACGGCGGUGUUUGGCACCUCGAUGUCGGCUCAUCACAUCCUGGGGCUGAAGUAGGUCCCAAGGGUAUGGCUGUUCGCCAUUUAAAGUGGUACGCGAGCUGGGUUUAGAACGUCGUGAGACAGUUCGGUCCCUAUCUGCCGUGGGCGCUGGAGAAUUGAGGGGGGCUGCUCCUAGUACGAGAGGACCGGAGUGGACGCAUCACUGGUGUUCGGGUUGUCAUGCCAAUGGCACUGCCCGGUAGCUAAAUGCGGAAGAGAUAAGUGCUGAAAGCAUCUAAGCACGAAACUUGCCCCGAGAUGAGUUCUCCCUGAGACUUUAAGUCUCCUGAAGGAACGUUGAAGACGACGACGUUGAUAGGUCGGGUGUGUAAGCGCAGCGAUGCGUUGAGCUAACCGAUACUAAUGAACCGUGAGGCUUAACCU
RNAcentral lists this ribosomal RNA (2903 nucleotides) under Enterobacter kobei. Its description in RNAcentral is "23S ribosomal RNA". It matches the Rfam family "Bacterial large subunit ribosomal RNA". The record is from RNAcentral. Lineage: Bacteria; Pseudomonadati; Pseudomonadota; Gammaproteobacteria; Enterobacterales; Enterobacteriaceae.